Molecule: transfer RNA, 63 nt
Filed under: Choroterpes yixingensis
Lineage: Eukaryota; Metazoa; Arthropoda; Insecta; Ephemeroptera; Leptophlebiidae
Description: tRNA-Ala
Source: RNAcentral
AGGAUUAUAUUUAAUAAUAAUACUUGACUUGCACUCAAGAGGUACCUUAAAAGGUUAAUCUUA